UACAGAGGUGGCAAGCGUUGUUCGGAAUUACUGGGCGUAAAGGGCGCGUAGGCGGCUCGACAAGUCCCGCGUGAAAGCCCCCGGCUCAACUGGGGAACUGCGCGGGAAACUGUCGGACUUGAGUUCGGGAGAGGGAAGCGGAAUUCCGGGUGUAGCGGUGAAAUGCGUAGAUAUCCGGAGGAACACCGGUGGCGAAGGCGGCUUCCUGGACCGACACUGACGCUGAGGCGCGAACGCGUGGGGAGCAAACAGG
RNAcentral lists this ribosomal RNA (253 nucleotides) under uncultured bacterium. RNAcentral's name for it is "partial 16S ribosomal RNA". It matches the Rfam family "Bacterial small subunit ribosomal RNA", at positions 524 to 776 of the family's 1533-position model. The record is from RNAcentral.